UUCUCAAUCUGGUAUAUCGAACAAAUUUUUUAUAUCAUCCAUUGUUCCCAUGACACUCAUUUUUUUGAUUUCUAAUUAAUCGAAUCCCAAUCAAUUUCAAGUCACAAGCGAGCUCGUCUCGAGUCUUCCUAUCUGAACUUCCAGAAGUUCCGCGAUACACUGCAGUCUGGAAAGAUCGCGGAGGGGACGAGAACGGUUGUUUAUCUAUAUCCAGAUUGAUUUAUGUAUCGCCAUUGAAAGAUUUUUCAAGAAAUUCAACUACGACACGACACAGACUGAAGCAAGAGCGUUCAUAGGAUCAUCAGGUUUCCUCUUCAACGAAUUGCUGAUCUGCAAUCCCUGCUGAAGGGUCGUGGAGGUUGGGGUAGCUGGUGUGGACGUUGACGUGGUGACGUCCUGUGCCUGAGGAAGAGGUGCGU
Cephus cinctus (wheat stem sawfly) is the source of this 419-nucleotide long non-coding RNA. RefSeq lists it as uncharacterized. The transcript is spliced from 3 exons. NCBI's taxonomy places the organism in Eukaryota, Metazoa, Arthropoda, Insecta, Hymenoptera, Cephidae. The record is from RefSeq and is a predicted model, not a curated record.